GACGAACGCUGGCGGCGUGCCUAAUACAUGCAAGUCGAACGCUUUUUCUUUCACCGGAGCUUGCUCCACCGAAAGAAAAGGAGUGGCGAACGGGUGAGUAACACGUGGGUAACCUGCCCAUCAGAAGGGGAUAACACUUGGAAACAGGUGCUAAUACCGUAUAACAAUAGAAACCGCAUGGUUUCUAUUUGAAAGGCGCUUUUGCGUCACUGAUGGAUGGACCCGCGGUGCAUUAGCUAGUUGGUGAGGUAACGGCUCACCAAGGCAACGAUGCAUAGCCGACCUGAGAGGGUGAUCGGCCACAUUGGGACUGAGACACGGCCCAAACUCCUACGGGAGGCAGCAGUAGGGAAUCUUCGGCAAUGGACGRAAGUCUGACCGAGCAACGCCGCGUGAGUGAAGAAGGUUUUCGGAUCGUAAAACUCUGUUGUUAGAGAAGAACAAGGAUGAGAGUAAAAUGUUCAUCCCUUGACGGUAUCUAACCAGAAAGCCACGGCUAACUACGUGCCAGCAGCCGCGGUAAUACGUAGGUGGCAAGCGUUGUCCGGAUUUAUUGGGCGUAAAGCGAGCGCAGGCGGUUUCUUAAGUCUGAUGUGAAAGCCCCCGGCUCAACCGGGGAGGGUCAUUGGAAACUGGGAAACUUGAGUGCAGAAGAGGAGAGUGGAAUUCCAUGUGUAGCGGUGAAAUGCGUAGAUAUAUGGAGGAACACCAGUGGCGAAGGCGGCUCUCUGGUCUGUAACUGACGCUGAGGCUCGAAAGCCGUGGGGAGCAAACAGGAU
RNAcentral lists this ribosomal RNA (779 nucleotides) under Enterococcus gilvus. Its description in RNAcentral is "bacterial SSU rRNA". It matches the Rfam family "Bacterial small subunit ribosomal RNA", at positions 28 to 778 of the family's 1533-position model. Lineage: Bacteria; Bacillati; Bacillota; Bacilli; Lactobacillales; Enterococcaceae. The record is from RNAcentral.